GAUGAGAACGUAGUGAAAUGCGAUAAGUAGUGUGAAUUGCAGAAUUCAGUGAAUCAUCGAAUCUUUGAACGCACAUUGCGCCCCUUGGUAUUCCAUGGGGCAUGCCUGUUCGAGCGUCAUUUGUACCUUCAAGCUUUGCUUGGUGUUGGGUGUUUGUCUCGCCUUUGCGUGUAGACUCGCCUUAAAAUAAUUGGCAGCCGGCGUAUUGAUUUCGGAGCGCAGUACAUCUCGCGCUUUGCACUCAUAACGACAGCGUCCAAAAGUACAUUUUACACUCUUGACCUCGGAUCAGGUAGGGAUACCCGCUGAACUUAAGCAUAUCAAUAAGCGGAGGA
RNAcentral lists this unclassified non-coding RNA (335 nucleotides) under soil metagenome. Its description in RNAcentral is "partial contains 5.8S ribosomal RNA, internal transcribed spacer 2, and large subunit ribosomal RNA". The stretch from base 5 to 119 matches the Rfam family "5.8S ribosomal RNA", at positions 40 to 154 of the family's 154-position model. The record is from RNAcentral.